CCACAUUUCACUACUCGAUUUCAAGUAUGAUACAAAUAUUCUUUAUUUGCAUUAAAAAACUUAAUUUUGGCUGGUUGUUUUUCGGAGUUUGGUAAGGCUUAUUAUCUACUGACUGAUGGCUCUCUCCAUUCGUGGAACAGACUUGAAUACUUUCCGAAAUAGUUUCUGGGUCUUGACCCAACUUGUGGGUAACUGAAUACUGAAUUAUCGCGGUGAAUAGGAUUCUCAGUCCUUGUCAUCUCUCAUUCCGGUGCACAGUUCCCUGCUUACUUCCUCGCAUGGUUAAUUCUCUCUUGUGAGAUCUAGGAAAUGUCGGCGAUGUUGAUUUUAGAUGGUUUUGUGUUUGUGAGCACAGUUUCCAGCGCGCUUUGUCUUCAUCUUUAUCCAAGCACGAGAAUCCAAUGUAUAUUCUUCCGUAAGCUCUCUGUGCAGCGAUCUGUUGCGAGAAGUCGAGAGGGUCUUGAGUCUUAGAUUGGUUGACGCCUUACGCUAUUCACUCGAAUGUAGGGGUUGCGAGGUCCUGGAGGCUUUGUUCUUUGCAUCGUGAGAAGCAUCGCUUUAGCUGGGAAUCUGUUGCGGUGACUAGGGUUACGUGUUGAAAUUGGCGAGUUUUUGUUUUGGAAUUAGGGGGUUUCCGCACGGUUGCUGUUUUAGAUCUCCUUUCGGACCUCGGCGUAGGUGCUCAGAUGGUUUGGAUGUCUUACGAGGGGUGCAAACGCUUGACUUGAGUGUCGACAAAGGUGUGACUUGAUUUGUAUUUGUCGAAAUAUUGCCUUCUCCUAACCUGGCAACCUGGCAGAUGGGUCGAGUCCGCUGGUGCCGAAUGCCCAAACGCUGAUCACAUUUCAACAGAGUCGGCACGAUUGAAGUUAUUAGUGAGAACUGCAUUCCACCGCCAAUUGGAGAGGUCACAGAACCACUGUGCUCUGCCAUUUUCGGUCUAUUUGCCUUUCUGAAGAAGAUCUGAGCCGUCUCAAAUCCAUUGUUUAACGGCGUCAUGUUCGAAUUACCGUCCUGCCCGAGCCCUGCGGUCCACGUUGCAGGCAUCGCAGGCAGUGAGCCUCAGUGCUCACUAUGCCAGAUGUUAGCCUGCCCUAAGCUUGUACAUUAUCCCGAUCCAGGAGAGGUUCUCAGCAAUCAGUGCGAAAUUCAUUCUGCUAUUGUUUUCGUGAUUGUCGAUUAUCUGUGGCAGGCCUGUCAACAGUGAGGUCGCCAACGGCUUUGGGAUCUUUUUAACCACCUUGGUCACAAACAGUGUUUGGUGUUUCCUCACGGUGGACGCACACUGAAACUGUGUAGGUUGGUCGAAGAGCAAUCUGGUAGAAUAGUGGUCAGAACGUGCUGCGGAAGCAACCACUCAACCUGUCACGAUUCGGUUUCAGUGAGAAGAGAUCCCGUUUUUACAGGAACAAAGUAACCCAUUCGUGACCUUUUGAGUAGUUUGAUAGAUGCAAUUCGCAUUCUUCAAUGCCACCCAUCUGUGUAUCUCUGAGGCACAUGCUAAUAAUGAAUAAUAAUGCUUCUCGGAGCAAAGAAUUCUAUCGAAAGCGAAUCGCUUCAUAGCCGCAAAGAGUCUGGAUUACAUCAUUCGUUGUUGCUGGAGAGUUUGGAAUUCCAACUUUAACCCUGUAUGGUUUCUUAUGCGCUGCAUUCAUCUUGCCUUUGUUGCCAGAUAGACACGUUCUUCUUUGUACCCUCCUUACUAAAAAAAGCCAUGAAUCCCUGACAUCUAAAGAGGUCAUUUCACCCUUGUUACUCUACCCGUUGUUAUUCGUUAGUUUGACCUGCCACCUUGCAACGUAAGUGAGGCUUGCAGAUACUGCAUCAACUAGAAAUUUAUUUUGUCUACUAAGAAGAUAGCAAUGAGACGUGCUGGACACACUGCGAGGUAGAGCAGUAAUCCAUGUGUGAACCACAUCAUACAUCGUCAGAUCAACUAUCGAGUUGCUAAGAUUGAUACUCUCGAAAUUGACUCCGACACUGCAUUUUUGUAGCUUCCAGACAUUCUCUGAUUGUCAACGAAGGCUGUUUAAUCUUGUGAAGAAUGUGAAUUAUAAU
Molecule: long non-coding RNA, 2058 nt
Filed under: Physcomitrium patens
Lineage: Eukaryota; Viridiplantae; Streptophyta; Bryopsida; Funariales; Funariaceae
Description: long non-coding RNA (PPAT_LNC000301)
Source: RNAcentral